Molecule: ribosomal RNA, 491 nt
Filed under: uncultured bacterium
Lineage: Bacteria
Description: partial 16S ribosomal RNA
Rfam family: Bacterial small subunit ribosomal RNA
Source: RNAcentral
GUGAACGCUGGCGGUAGGCCUAACACAUGCAAGUCGAACGGCAGCACAGCAAGAGCUUGCUCUUACGGGUGGCGAGUGGCGGACGGGUGAGGAAUACAUCGGACUCUACUUUUUCGUGGGGGAUAGCGUAGGGAAACUUACGCUAAUACCGCAUACGACCUACGGGUGAAAGCAGGGGAUCUUCGGACCUUGCGCGAUUGCAUGAGCCGAUGUCGGAUUAGCUAGUUGGCGGGGUAAAGGCCCACCAAGGCGACGAUCCGUAGCUGGUCUGAGAGGAUGAUCAGCCACACUGGAACUGAGACACGGUCCAGACUCCUACGGGAGGCAGCAGUGGGGAAUAUUGGACAAUGGGCGCAAGCCUGAUCCAGCCAUACCGCGUGGGUGAAGAAGGCCUUCGGGUUGUAAAGCCCUUUUGUUGGGAAAGAAAAGCAGCAGGUUAAUACCCCGCUGUUCUGACGGUACCCAAAGAAUAAGCACCGGCUAACUUCGUG